RNAcentral lists this ribosomal RNA (433 nucleotides) under uncultured bacterium. Its description in RNAcentral is "partial 16S ribosomal RNA". It matches the Rfam family "Bacterial small subunit ribosomal RNA", at positions 29 to 507 of the family's 1533-position model. The record is from RNAcentral.
AGCGAACGCUGGCGGCAGGCCUAACACAUGCAAGUCGAACGAACUCUUCGGAGUUAGUGGCGGACGGGUGAGUAACACGUGGGAACGUGCCAUUAGGUACGGAACAACCCCGUGAAACUUGUGUUAAUACCGGAUGUGCACUCCGGGGGAAAGAUUUCUCGCCAUUCGAGCGGCCCGCGUCUGAUUAGCUAGUGGGUGAGGGAACGGCACAUCAAGGCGACGAUCAGUAGCUGGUCUGAGAGGAUGACCAGCCACACUGGGACUGAGACACGGCCCAGACUCCUACGGGAUGGAGCAGAGGGGAAUCUAGCGCAAUGGGCGGAAGCCUGACGCAGCCAGGCCGCGUGAGUGAUGAAGGUCGUAGGAUUGUGAAAGUCUUUCACCGGGGACGAUAAUGACGGUACCCGGAGAAGAAGCCCCGGCUAACUUCGUG